Scomber scombrus (Atlantic mackerel) is the source of this 150-nucleotide long non-coding RNA. RefSeq lists it as uncharacterized. The record is from RefSeq and is a predicted model, not a curated record. Lineage: Eukaryota; Metazoa; Chordata; Actinopteri; Scombriformes; Scombridae. The transcript is spliced from 3 exons.
GUGGUGCUUGCAGCAUUGGCUGUGUACCUAUGUCUGAACCGGAGCAAACAGAGCUGGAAUGGUAAAGGGGAGACUGUUGUUUCCAGAUCACGCUCACCACUACAUUCUCACAAGAUCUUCUCACCAGUGAAGGGUAAACAGUUAUCAUAA